UUUUUCAAAUCGAUUUUCCUCUCUUCUCUUCUCUUGUUAACUCCGGUGGCGAUUGAGCGAUUGGUGAUCAUCAUCAUCACGCGUUUAUAUCAUCAAAUUGGAAGAGAUUAUCGACGGAAUUUGUCUCUUAUCCAUCGUGCUCAUCAUCUCAACCGACGGUGCUCAACGUCGACUAGUUUGGUGAACUUAAUCGGAGAGGACUGUGAACCAAAUCGGAGAUGGGGUAACGUGGAUAUAUGAAGCAGAUGUUUUUGGUGAAUGAUAAGUGCUUAACCAUGAUUGAACCACAGAAGAAAUGGUCAAAAAGAAUAGAAGAAUUGAUAAGUGCGUUACUUAGAUUUAGGAGAUCAAGCUCCACGUUUCCAUAUUCCCACUUUGUUAAUAAUGUUCUUUGUUUUUAGGAUUAGUUGUCGAUCCCCUUUGCUUUACUUUGUGUACUUAAAGACUGCCAAGUUAUGAGAAGGAAUUAGACUUGAUUUGCCAAAAGAAACUUGUGUUUGUGUUGUGUGUUUACACAUUCUCUUAGCUUUGAAGAGGGACCACCUAACAGGGAAUCAGAGUUUUGUAAAUAGAACCGUCACGGUAAC
This 587-nucleotide small RNA is filed under the name Arabidopsis thaliana (thale cress). Its description in RNAcentral is "ncRNA (AT1G49832)". Lineage: Eukaryota; Viridiplantae; Streptophyta; Magnoliopsida; Brassicales; Brassicaceae. The record is from RNAcentral.